UUUUUUGAUUUAACGUGUCUCAUUUCUUACUGUCGCUCUCCCUUUGCACCAAGUUUCUUGUAGCUAUAGUUAUUAUCUUGUACAUGGUGGAACUAAAACAACUUAAUAUUGACAAUAAUUUGUUGUCUAUAUAUCAUCUUAGUGUAUGAAGAAACAGCUGGGUUGACGGUCAAUGAUCCUAUUUUAUGAACACACAAGCCUCUGUCGGUGGAGUUGGGUCCUGGAAUCUUGGGGAAUAUAUUUGAUGGUAUUUAGGUUUUUGAAAUAUAUGCUUCUUCAUAUUGCUCAACUUGAAUGUUGUCUAAACAAAAACUCUCUGUAACUGGGUCUUUUAUUAUUAACCUGACUUAAGGAGGACAUUUACCCGUUGACAAUCCAUUUAUUGUUUAAAAAUAAUGCAGAGGUCUCUAACGACCAUCGCAAAGCGAUCUGGUGAUGUGUAUAUCCCUCAUUGUGUCUUUGUCCUGGCCCUUGAGGAGGACACCCUUUGGGAAUUCCAGCCUAAAAAAAUAGACUGUCUUUGAGAAUAAUUUAGUGCAGCACCAUGUUGCACUUCCUCCUGAUUCUAUGGGAAAGAUAACCUACACUGCACCAGUUGGUCAAUAUUCAUUGAAGGUAUACUUGAUAGACUGGUUAAAGUCUAUGGUUGCCAAGUAAAACUUUGAUCAUCUUGUAGAUCCUAAGAUGCUUGAGAUGAUUUCAUUGAAGGAACUUAAACGAAUCAUUUUGAUUGCUCUUAGAUGUGUUGAUCCGGAUGUCGAAAAUAGGCCUAGGAUGGGAGAU
This is a non-coding RNA of Camellia sinensis, 783 nucleotides long. The record is from RefSeq and is a predicted model, not a curated record. NCBI's taxonomy places the organism in Eukaryota, Viridiplantae, Streptophyta, Magnoliopsida, Ericales, Theaceae.